GACGAACGCUGGCGGCGGGCUUAACACAUGCAAGUCGAACGGAAAGGCCCUGCUUUUGUGGGGUGCUCGAGUGGCGAACGGGUGAGUAACACGUGAGUAACCUGCCCUUGACUUUGGGAUAACUUCAGGAAACUGGGGCUAAUACCGGAUAGGAGCUCCUGCUGCAUGGUGGGGUUUGGAAAGUUUCGGCGGUUGGGGAUGGACUCGCGGGUUAUCAGCUUGUUGGUUGGGUAGUGGCUUACCAAGGCUUUGACGGGUAGCCGGCCUGAGAGGGUGGACGGGCACCAUAGGACUGAGGUAGGGACCAGAGUCCUACGGGAGGCAGCAGGGGAGAAUAUUGCACAAUGGGCGGAAGCCUGAUGAAGAAGCGCCGGGAGCGGGAUGAAGGCCUUCGGGUUGUAAACCGCUUUAGCCUGUGACGAAGCGUGAGUGACGGUAAUGGGUAAAGAAGCACCGGCUAACUACGUG
Molecule: ribosomal RNA, 468 nt
Filed under: uncultured bacterium
Lineage: Bacteria
Description: partial 16S ribosomal RNA
Rfam family: Bacterial small subunit ribosomal RNA
Source: RNAcentral